Molecule: ribosomal RNA, 636 nt
Filed under: Salmonella enterica
Lineage: Bacteria; Pseudomonadati; Pseudomonadota; Gammaproteobacteria; Enterobacterales; Enterobacteriaceae
Description: partial 23S ribosomal RNA
Rfam family: Bacterial large subunit ribosomal RNA
Source: RNAcentral
AGACCCGAAACCCGGUGAUCUAGCCAUGGGCAGGUUGAAGGUUGGGUAACACUAACUGGAGGACCGAACCGACUAAUGUUGAAAAAUUAGCGGAUGACCUGUGGCUGGGGGUGAAAGGCCAAUCAAACCGGGAGAUAGCUGGUUCUCCCCGAAAGCUAUUUAGGUAGCGCCUCGUGAAUUCAUCUCCGGGGGUAGAGCACUGUUUCGGCCAGGGGGCCAUCCCGGCUUACCAAUCCGAUGCAAACUGCGAAUACCGGAGAAUGUUAUCACGGGAGACACACGGCGGGUGCUAACGUCCGUCGUGAAGAGGGAAACAACCCAGACCGCCAGCUAAGGUCCCAAAGUCAUGGUUAAGUGGGAAACGAUGUGGGAAGGCCCAGACAGCCAGGAUGUUGGCUUAGAAGCAGCCAUCAUUUAAAGAAAGCGUAAUAGCUCACUGGUCGAGUCGGCCUGCGCGGAAGAUGUAACGGGGCUAAACCAUGCACCGAAGCUGCGGCAGCGAACGUAUCACCCAAGACAACUUUACACAGUUGACGCCUGACGGAGCGAAGCGACGUCAAAGCGUUUUACAACGUCGAGUUGGCUUAGGGAUACGUUCGUUGGGUAGGGGAGCGUUCUGUAAGCCGUUGAAGGUGU